Triticum urartu is the source of this 124-nucleotide non-coding RNA. Lineage: Eukaryota; Viridiplantae; Streptophyta; Magnoliopsida; Poales; Poaceae. The record is from Rfam.
AUAAUACUCUCUCCGUCCAGAAUUACUUGUCAUCAAAAUGGAUGAGAAUGGAUGUAUCUAGACUAAAAAACAUCUAGAUACAUCCAUUUCAAUGACAAGUAUUUUCGGAAGGAGAGAGUACUAG